GAUGAACGCUGGCGGCGUGCCUAAUACAUGCAAGUAGAACGCUGAAGGAGGAGCUUGCUCUUCUGGAUGAGUUGCGAACGGGUGAGUAACGCGUAGGUAACCUGCCUGGUAGCGGGGGAUAACUAUUGGAAACGAUAGCUAAUACCGCAUGACAACAGUUAUUGCAUGAUAACUGUUUAAAAGGGGCAACUGCUCCACUACCAGAUGGACCUGCGUUGUAUUAGCUAGUUGGUGAGGUAACGGCUCACCAAGGCGACGAUACAUAGCCGACCUGAGAGGAUGAUCGGCCACACUGGGACUGAGACACGGCCCAGACUCCUACGGGAGGCAGCAGUAGGGAAUCUUCGGCAAUGGACGGAAGUCUGACCGAGCAACGCCGCGUGAGUGAAGAAGGUUUUCGGAUCGUAAAGCUCUGUUGUAAGAGAAGAACGAGUGUGAGAGUGGAAAGUUCACACUGUGACGGUAUCUUACCAGAAAGGGACGGCUAACUACGUG
RNAcentral lists this ribosomal RNA (495 nucleotides) under uncultured bacterium. RNAcentral describes it as "partial 16S ribosomal RNA". It matches the Rfam family "Bacterial small subunit ribosomal RNA", at positions 28 to 507 of the family's 1533-position model. The record is from RNAcentral.